GACGAACGCUGGCGGCGUGCUUAACACAUGCAAGUCGAACGGAAAGGCCCUGCUUUUGUGGGGUGCUCGAGGGGCGAACGGGUGAGUAACACGUGAGUAACCUGCCCUUGACUUUGGGAGAACUUCAGGAAACUGGGGCUAAUACCGGAUAGGAGCCCCUGCUGCAUGGUGGGGGUUGGAAAGUUUCGGCGGGUGGGGAUGGACGCGCGGCUGAUCAGCUUGUUGGUGGGGUAGUGGUAUACCAAGGCUUUGACGGGUAGCCGGCCUGAGAGGGUGACCGGCCACAUUGGGACUGAGAUACGGCCCAGACUCCUACGGGAGGCAGCAGUGGGGAACAUUGCACAGUGGGCGGACGCCUGAUGCAGCAACGCCGCGUGCGGGAUGACGGUUUUCGGGUUGUGAACCGCUUCCGCCUGUGACGAAGCGGGAGUGACGGUAACGAGUAAAGAAGCACCGGCUAACUACGUG
Molecule: ribosomal RNA, 468 nt
Filed under: uncultured bacterium
Lineage: Bacteria
Description: partial 16S ribosomal RNA
Rfam family: Bacterial small subunit ribosomal RNA
Source: RNAcentral